Mobula hypostoma (lesser devil ray) is the source of this 219-nucleotide small nucleolar RNA. RefSeq annotates it as small nucleolar RNA U3. The record is from RefSeq and is a predicted model, not a curated record. Lineage: Eukaryota; Metazoa; Chordata; Chondrichthyes; Myliobatiformes; Myliobatidae. The transcript has a single exon.
AAGACUAUACUUUUAAGGAUCAUUUCUAUAGUCUGUGACUGAGAAAUCGAGCACUAAAAAGUUUGGUCUCUGCAACCACGAGGAAGAGUCGUGGCGUUUCCUCCUGAGCGGGAAGCAGCCGGUGAGUGUUGUUUUGUACAGCGGCUCUCCGGUCUUGAUGACCGUUCCCUUCUCCCCAUUGCGGGGAGCUGCGGAGGGAGGAGACGCUGUCUGAGUGGU